AAGCUCGUAGUUGAAUUUCGGAUUCUUCCAAUUGGUCCAUCUUUUAGAUGAGUACUGGUUGUGUGGGGUCUAUCCGCCUGGUGAUACGUAAUGUCCUUUAUUGGAUGUUGCGGGUAGUCAGGACCUUUACCUUGAAAAAAUUAGAGUGUUUAAAGCAGGCUUAUGCCGGAAUACAUUAGCAUGGAAUAAUAGAAUAGGACGAAGUUGUUUUAUUUUGUUGGUUUCUAGGACACCGUAAUGUUAAUAGGGAUAGUUGGG
RNAcentral lists this ribosomal RNA (258 nucleotides) under Archaeospora sp. SS06-3. RNAcentral's name for it is "partial 18S ribosomal RNA". It matches the Rfam family "Eukaryotic small subunit ribosomal RNA", at positions 624 to 886 of the family's 1831-position model. The record is from RNAcentral. Lineage: Eukaryota; Fungi; Glomeromycota; Glomeromycetes; Archaeosporales; Archaeosporaceae.